This 465-nucleotide ribosomal RNA is filed under the name uncultured Caldilineaceae bacterium. RNAcentral describes it as "bacterial SSU rRNA". It matches the Rfam family "Bacterial small subunit ribosomal RNA", at positions 8 to 489 of the family's 1533-position model. Lineage: Bacteria; Bacillati; Chloroflexota; Caldilineae; Caldilineales; Caldilineaceae. The record is from RNAcentral.
AGAGUUUGAUCAUGGCUCAGGAUGAACGCUGGCGGCGUGGAUAAGGCAUGCAAGUCAAACGGUCCCGACAAAUUUAGCAAUAAAUUUGUCGCGGAUAGUGGCAGACGGGGUAGUAACACGUAGGAACUCACCCCAGAGACGGGCAUAACUCCGCGAAAGCGGAAUUAAUUCCCGAUAGUUCCCGAAAGGGUAAAACAAUUAGAUUGGCUCUGGGAGAGGCCUGCGGGCUAUCAGCUAGUUGGCGGGGUAAUGGCCCACCAAGGCUACGACGGCUAGGGGAAGUGAGAGCUUGACCCCCACCAAUGGAACUGCGACACGGUCCAUACACCUACGGGUGGCAGCAGCCGAGAAUAUUCGACAAUGGGCGAAAGCCUGAUCGAGCGACGCCGCGUGCAGGACGAAGUCCUUCGGGACGUAAACUGCUUUUUUAGGGGAGGAACGAAAGUGACUGUACCCUAAGAAUAA